RNAcentral lists this long non-coding RNA (1906 nucleotides) under Canis lupus familiaris (dog). RNAcentral's name for it is "lncRNA (ENSCAFG00040007230.1)". The record is from RNAcentral. Lineage: Eukaryota; Metazoa; Chordata; Mammalia; Carnivora; Canidae.
UGCAGUAACAUCAUCCGGGAGAGUAAGGCUGAACCUUGGCAAGGACACUGGCUGCCAAAACAAACAGGUCAGCAAUUGUCUGAAACUGUUCUGAAUACUCACUGUCCCUUGUUGGAACAUCAUGGUUGGACACAUGCAACCCGGCGUCAGUUAACAACACCUACUACAUUGGAGACUUGUUUUGAAGAAAGAACAAGAGAGUUAAUAGUGUCUUUUAAUAAAGAGAAUCAUCAUUUAAAAAAAAAAAUCACAAUUGGUGAGACUUCAGAGAUCACCCUAGAGGCUCACAGUAGCCAGUGGCUUACCUUAGUCUCCACAGAAUUUGAACAGGGCGGCCCGCAAGGACUUAGAUGACCAGCCUGAGUGUACUUGAGCAUUGCUCUGGCCUUCGUGUCCUGUCUCCUCCCACUCAUCUGAAAGAGGGAUUUUAAUUAGAAAACAAAGUCCCCCGGAAAAAAAUAGGCAACAGAAAAAUGGAAAUCCUACAGAUCUGAAUCAUCUAUAGAUGCAAUAAUCAGGCACUUGGAAGAGUGAGUUGGUUUUCUUCAUCACUAGGAACAUCUGGAACAAACAGAGGAGUGUUUCAUGGUUGUCAAAUAGCUUUAAACAUCAAUCAUUAAUGUAUGGAGUUAUUUGUAAACAUUUUUCUCUGAUUUUUAAGAGAGGAGUUCGCUUUUAAUAUUCAGACUUCAAGUAAAUUGGUGAAUGUGAACUUUUUUUUUUUUUUUACCAUUACAGGUUUUUUAAAAAAUAUAUUUAACACAAUCCCCAUCAAAGCAAUGAGUACAGGAAGAAGGACUGUUUGUUUAUUUGAAAAUAUGAUUGUAAGUAGAUUGAAUUCCCUCUGAAGGACACCUACUUCAUCUUUGCAUCCCAGCGUUCACCACAGUACCUGACAUUUAGCGGGUGGUUCAAAACCAAAGAGAAAUAUGAUUGUGAGGCAAAUAUUUCUUCAAAAUUGUUUUUUCUGAGCUGGCUGUGUAAAUGAUAGUCCAGAAAUAAAAAGUGCUAAAAAAAAAUCACAGAUUGGAAAAAGUUAAAAACUCAAUAAUUAUAUUUAAUUUUCUACCAUUUAUGAUAUUUAAUUAUAUUUUCUGCAAAUGUAUUUAUAAUGUCUCUGGAGAAACACACAAUAAACUGUUAGUAUUAAUGCUUCCAGGGAGAGAAUGGGGGGACUACAGGUAGAAGGGAGACUUGUUUUAACAGUAUAUUUUUUUUUACUUUUUGAAUUUUUAUCAUGUGUAUGUAAUUCCAUCUUUUCAACUGGUUCUUUAAAAAUCACCAUUUACCCGAGUAGACCAAAGCCUAAAUAAAUUCUGAUCAUUGGCACAAAAUGUUUUUAAUUGGUAGUGCCUCUCCAUUCUAUGGCUUUUUGGUUAGACCUUUUUUAAAGAUUUAUGUUUAGGGAGGCCGUAAGUGUGUUUACUAUAGAGAUGAUUCUAUUCUAUUAGCCUUAUGCUAUCGGAAAAAAUAAUACGGUAGUGACUAUAAUAGUCUAAGCAUGAAUUAGCAAAAGGGUAGAAUCAGGCUGGUGGUAGCAGAAAAAAGAAAGAUGAAUGAGGGAAGCAAAUUUUGAGGCCACUUUAAAAUCAGCAGGGCCCAUGAGCCUCUGAAUUCUGAUUUCCCAAAGCCUUCAUCAUUCUUUCAUGCUCUGAAAAAGUACAUAAUCUCUGAGGAGUUUGGAUCUCACAAGAUGGAACCCAAAUCUAACUAAAGACCUCAGUUGUGUGAAGAAAACUACUCAUAAAACUUGCAAAUGUACCAUUCAAUGAGAAUUCUCUCUCCUGCUGGCCUAUAUAUAACUUAUUUUUUAGACUGGAAAAUUUCAAAGAUAUAAAAAGAUAAGACGUAUAAAGAGCCUCCAUGUACUUAUCACCACUUCCCCUCUCCCGGGACUAUUUCGAAG